UGGGCUCAUGUGGAUGAUGACGGUGUC
Molecule: non-coding RNA, 27 nt
Filed under: Homo sapiens (human)
Lineage: Eukaryota; Metazoa; Chordata; Mammalia; Primates; Hominidae
Source: RNAcentral